AACGUAGGACACGAGCGUUAUCCGGAGUUACUGGGCGUAAAGGGCGUUUAGGCGGGUGACUAAGUUCGCUAUGAAAGCGCCGGGCUAAACCCGGCGAGGCUGGCGGAUACUGGUGAUCUGGAGUGAGGUAGAGGGAAGUAGAAUUCCGCGUGUAGUGGUGAAAUGCGUAGAGAUGCGGAGGAAUACCAGUGGCGAAGGCGACUUCCUGGACCUUAACUGACGCUGAGACGCGAAAGCGUGGGGAGCGAACAGG
Molecule: ribosomal RNA, 253 nt
Filed under: uncultured bacterium
Lineage: Bacteria
Description: partial 16S ribosomal RNA
Rfam family: Bacterial small subunit ribosomal RNA
Source: RNAcentral